UACGUAGGGUGCGAGCGUUGUCCGGAAUUAUUGGGCGUAAAGGGCUCGUAGGCGGUUUGUCACGUCGGGAGUGAAAACUCGGGGCUCAACCCCGAGCCUGCUUCCGAUACGGGCAGACUAGAGGUAUGCAGGGGAGAAUGGAAUUCCUGGUGUAGCGGUGAAAUGCGCAGAUAUCAGGAGGAACACCGGUGGCGAAGGCGGUUCUCUGGGCAUUACCUGACGCUGAGGAGCGAAAGCGUGGGGAGCAAACAGG
RNAcentral lists this ribosomal RNA (253 nucleotides) under uncultured bacterium. RNAcentral's name for it is "partial 16S ribosomal RNA". It matches the Rfam family "Bacterial small subunit ribosomal RNA", at positions 524 to 776 of the family's 1533-position model. The record is from RNAcentral.